CCCCAGUAAACGGCGGCCGUAACUAUAACGGUCCUAAGGUAGCGAAAUUCCUUGUCGGGUAAGUUCCGACCCGCACGAAAGGCGUAACGAUUUGGGCACUGUCUCAACAACAGACUCGGUGAAAUUGUAAUUCCGGUGAAGAUGCCGGAUACCUGCGACAGGACGGAAAGACCCCAUGGAGCUUUACUGUAGCUUGACAUUGGGUCUUGGUACUACAUGUACAGGAUAGGUGGGAGGCUUUGAAACCAGGACGCCAGUUUUGGCGGAGCCAUCCUUGGGAUACCACCCUUGUAGUACUGGGACUCUAACCAUAGGCCAUGAAUCUGGUCUUGGGACACUGUCAGGUGGGCAGUUUGACUGGGGCGGUCGCCUCCCAAAAGGUAACGGAGGCGCUCAAAGGUUCUCUCAGUACGGUCGGAAAUCGUACGUAGAGUGUAAAGGCAAAAGAGAGCUUGAUUGCAAGACAUACAGGUCGAGCAAGGAUGAAAAUCGGACUUAGUGAUCCGGUGGUUCUGCGUGGAAGGGCCAUCGCUCAACGGAUAAAAGCUACCCUGGGGAUAACAGGCUUAUCUCCCCCAAGAGUCCACAUCGACGGGGAGGUUUGGCACCUCGAUGUCGGCUCAUCACAUCCUGGGGCUGUAGUAGGUCCCAAGGGUUGGGCUGUUCGCCCAUUAAAGUGGUACGCGAGCUGGGUUCAGAACGUCGUGAGACAGUUCGGUCCCUAUCCGUCGCAGGCGUAGGAAAUUUGAGAAGACCUGU
RNAcentral lists this ribosomal RNA (759 nucleotides) under Clostridioides difficile. Its description in RNAcentral is "partial 23S ribosomal RNA". It matches the Rfam family "Bacterial large subunit ribosomal RNA", at positions 1918 to 2675 of the family's 2925-position model. The record is from RNAcentral. Lineage: Bacteria; Bacillati; Bacillota; Clostridia; Peptostreptococcales; Peptostreptococcaceae.